CGCCCAAUUUAAUUACAAAAAAAUUUUGAUUAUUAUAUUUACAUGUUUAUUAUCUAGGGCUAGGGGCCUACUAGAAACCAUCAAAAGGCUUUUGAUUAAGACCCCUAGUUACAUUUUAAAUUACAAAAUAAGGAUCCUAUUUACAAACAAAACUAGGUGACAGUGCUUCAAGUGAGGUGCAAUAUGAUAAAGUAUUUACAUAUAGUGCUACAGUAAAUAAAAUGUUAUGAUCACAAAAGUAUAUUAUUAUUAAUUUAUAUAAAAAUUUGAUAUUGCAGAUGUUGUUUUGGUAGUAGUUUUUCAGUUAUUCAGUAUGUAGUAUUUUUUCGACUUUUUCUUGAAUAUAUAGUAAGAUGCUAUAUUUUUAAAGUUUGGGUCAAGAUUAUUCCAGAUAUCAACUCCCUUGUUAGAGAGUGAAUGUUUAACAUAGUUUGUUCUUUGAUAAGGCUUAUGAAGUUUCAUAGAAUUUCUUGUAUUAUGUCUAUGAACUUCACUAUUUGAAAUAUAGUAGUUCGCAAAAAAUUGAGGUAAGUUUUUUAAGUGAUGAUAUCUGAACAUGAACAAACUGGUAAGAUAAUCGUUUAGUUUGCAUAAGUUCAAUAUAUUUAGGUGCUGAAAUAUGUUUUCAGUAUGAUCUAAGUGAGAGCUAAAAGUCAUUAAACGUACAAUCUUCUUUUGAACAUUUAUAAGUUUUUGAAUUCGUUUUUUA
Molecule: non-coding RNA, 709 nt
Organism: Paramuricea clavata
Lineage: Eukaryota; Metazoa; Cnidaria; Anthozoa; Malacalcyonacea; Plexauridae
Source: the annotation of a GenBank genome assembly